ACAUCACCAACACCUUCGACCACCGCCAGUACGUCUGGAUCGUCGCAAUCUCCACCUCAUAGUCCGCCGACCACCAUUGUUCCAACUUCUUUAUGCUUGGUGGUCUUCAUUGUCGACCAAAUCCACAACAAGUGGCUAUUCCACCACCAUCAAAUUGUUGAUCGACCUUCAUCAUCAUCGAGAUCUAUCCGAGAUUUUGUAUAAAGCAUUUAUCGUUUGAACUUUGAAGUCUUGUUUAUCAUCGUUAGGUGAUCUUCUUCUUCAUCUUAUUUUGAUUUGAAUCCAUGUAAAUUUGGAUGUUUGGGUUGGAUGCCAUUUUUAGGUUUUACAAGUGUAUCACUACAAAUUACUUGGCAAUGAAUUUAUGGUAGAAAAGGCUUCAAGAAUGGCUUGAAGACCUGAUGGGAAAGGGUUGAAGAAUGAAUUAAAGAAUGAUCGCACUCAUUUUUUAAGAAUGUUGUUAUUUUUUAAGAAUUAUACUUGUUUAUUCUUUCAGAAUGUUUGUUAUUAUUCAAUGAAUCACAAUUAUACAAUGUAAUUUUUUGAUAUAUUAUUAGUUCAAGAAUCGAUUUUGUGUAUUCUUUCAGAAUGUAUUUACUA
Long non-coding RNA from Lactuca sativa (garden lettuce), 600 nucleotides. RefSeq lists it as uncharacterized. The record is from RefSeq and is a predicted model, not a curated record. Lineage: Eukaryota; Viridiplantae; Streptophyta; Magnoliopsida; Asterales; Asteraceae.